CCGCCCUGUGAUUAUAAAAAGACGCGUUAUUCUGAGGGACUCCACUGGAUGGCAGUUUUCUUACUUUGUCUGCUCUUUGUUUAUUACUCGUCCUGUUUUUUCUCUCCUCCUCAUGCUUCUCUUCUAUCCCUCACUCUUAAACUGCCAGCCAGUCCACUGACUGCGAUUAUGAGAUAUGAGGGUGU
RNAcentral lists this small nucleolar RNA (185 nucleotides) under Carassius auratus (goldfish). RNAcentral describes it as "Small nucleolar RNA SNORD97 (ENSCARG00000069427.1)". It matches the Rfam family "Small nucleolar RNA SNORD97". The record is from Rfam by way of RNAcentral. Lineage: Eukaryota; Metazoa; Chordata; Actinopteri; Cypriniformes; Cyprinidae.